This 503-nucleotide ribosomal RNA is filed under the name uncultured bacterium. RNAcentral's name for it is "partial 16S ribosomal RNA". It matches the Rfam family "Bacterial small subunit ribosomal RNA", at positions 30 to 523 of the family's 1533-position model. The record is from RNAcentral.
AUUGAACGCUGGCGGCAGGCUUAACACAUGCAAGUCGAGCGGGGUGAUGGUGCUUGCACUAUCACUUAGCGGCGGACGGGUGAGUAAUGCUUAGGAAUCUGCCUAUUAGUGGGGGACAACAUCUCGAAAGGGAUGCUAAUACCGCAUACGUCCUACGGGGGAAAGCAGGGGAUCACUUGUGACCUUGCGCUAAUAGAUGAGCCUAAGUCGGAUUGGCUAGUUGGUGGGGUAAAGGCCUACCAAGGCGACGAUGUGUAGCGGGUCUGAGAGGAUGAUCGGCCACACUGGGACUGAGACACGGCCCAGAUUCCGACGGGAGGCAGCAGCAGGGAGUAUUGGACAAUGGGGGGAACCCUGAUCCAGCCAUGCCGCGUGUGUGAAGAAGGCCUUAUGGUUGUAAAGCACUUUAAGCGAGGAGGAGGCUCUUUUGGUUAAUACCCAAGAUGAGUGGACGUUACUCGCAGAAUAAGCACCGGCUAACUCUGUGCCAGCCGCCGCCGUAA